CCUUUUUAUUUGUUUGCGUUGUCGACAUAUACGUUCUUGCAGGUAUACGGACGGGCAUUUGGACUAGUGUGACUGGACGCAAUGAAGAACUGCGUAUGGAGCAGUGUCAUCAUUUGGGCCGUAGUGGCGCUUCUUCUGCCCACAUUAGAAAAGCGAGAUUCCUUUUCUGCCAUCGCUCUCGUUUAUAUGGGGCCAAGUGCGGGACAUGGCCACAGACCUGGUGCUGGAAGCCAUGGUAAAGGAGCGUCAAAUCAUAAUACCUCAUCAAAACAUGGAGGAGUACCAAGCCGCAAACCUGAAAAACAUAGAAAUAAUGGAAGCAAGGCCGGAGGAAAGAAUCUGUUGAGCAGAAUGAAAAGAAAUGCUCCGUCGAUUUCCAAGGCCCUGGCUGUGCUUGUGUAAAUACAAAAAAUAAAUUAAAAUUACGAACCAUUUAGGUGGAAUGCGAAGAAAUAAUCUCCAAGCGACGACAAACAACUUUACCUUGGUUCUGUUCAGCUACGUGGCAUGUGGAUAUUUUUAAAUCAUGGAGCAUGAUAAUGAGGGCACCCUGUAUAAGUCCU
Molecule: long non-coding RNA, 563 nt
Organism: Dermacentor silvarum
Lineage: Eukaryota; Metazoa; Arthropoda; Arachnida; Ixodida; Ixodidae
Exons: 3
Source: RefSeq, a predicted model, not a curated record